Molecule: ribosomal RNA, 488 nt
Filed under: uncultured bacterium
Lineage: Bacteria
Description: partial 16S ribosomal RNA
Rfam family: Bacterial small subunit ribosomal RNA
Source: RNAcentral
AUUGAACGCUGGCGGCAGGCUUAACACAUGCAAGUCGAGCGGUAGCACAGGGGAGCUUGCUCCCUGGGUGACGAGCGGCGGACGGGUGAGUAAUGUCUGGGAAACUGCCUGAUGGAGGGGGAUAACUACUGGAAACGGUAGCUAAUACCGCAUAACGUCGCAAGACCAAAGAGGGGGACCUUCGGGCCUCUUGCCAUCAGAUGUGCCCAGAUGGGAUUAGCUAGUAGGUGGGGUAAUGGCUCACCUAGGCGACGAUCCCUAGCUGGUCUGAGAGGAUGACCAGCCACACUGGAACUGAGACACGGUCCAGACUCCUACGGGAGGCAGCAGUGGGGAAUAUUGCACAAUGGGCGCAAGCCUGAUGCAGCCAUGCCGCGUGUGUGAAGAAGGCCUUCGGGUUGUAAAGCACUUUCAGCGAGGAGGAAGGUGGUGAACUUAAUACGUUCAUCAAUUGACGUUACUCGCAGAAGAAGCACCGGCUAACUCCG